GCACAGCAGCGGAGCGUGUGGUUUAAUUCGUUGCUACACGAAGAACCUUACCUGGGUUUGACAUAUAGGUUGUAGGGAACUGAAAAGGGACCGACCCUUCGGGGAGCCUAUACAGGUGUUGCAUGGCUGUCGUCAGCUCGUGUCGUGAGAUGUUCGGUUAAGUCCGCUAACGAGCGCAACCCUCGUCGUAUGUUAUAUGUGUCAUACGAGACUGCCGGUAAAAGCCGGAGGAAGGUGAGGAUGAUGUCAAGUCAGCAUGACCUUUAUAUCCAGGGCUACACACACGCUACAAUGGUCUGUACAAUGGGUAGCCAAGCCGCGAGGCGGAGCCAAUCCUGAAAGCAGGCCUCAGUUCAGAUUGCAGUCUGCAACUCGACUGCAUGAAGCCGGAGUUGCUAGUAACCGCAGGUCAGCAAUACUGCGGUGAAUACGUUCCCGGGUCUU
RNAcentral lists this ribosomal RNA (444 nucleotides) under uncultured Anaerolineaceae bacterium. RNAcentral's name for it is "bacterial SSU rRNA". It matches the Rfam family "Bacterial small subunit ribosomal RNA", at positions 923 to 1382 of the family's 1533-position model. Lineage: Bacteria; Bacillati; Chloroflexota; Anaerolineae; Anaerolineales; Anaerolineaceae. The record is from RNAcentral.